Molecule: ribosomal RNA, 1404 nt
Filed under: Bacillus pumilus
Lineage: Bacteria; Bacillati; Bacillota; Bacilli; Caryophanales; Bacillaceae
Description: bacterial SSU rRNA
Rfam family: Bacterial small subunit ribosomal RNA
Source: RNAcentral
UCGGAAGAAGGGAGCUUGCUCCCGGAUGUUAGCGGCGGACGGGUGAGUAACACGUGGGUAACCUGCCUGUAAGACUGGGAUAACUCCGGGAAACCGGAGCUAAUACCGGAUAGUUCCUUGAACCGCAUGGUUCAAGGAUGAAAGACGGUUUCGGCUGUCACUUACAGAUGGACCCGCGGCGCAUUAGCUAGUUGGUGAGGUAACGGCUCACCAAGGCGACGAUGCGUAGCCGACCUGAGAGGGUGAUCGGCCACACUGGGACUGAGACACGGCCCAGACUCCUACGGGAGGCAGCAGUAGGGAAUCUUCCGCAAUGGACGAAAGUCUGACGGAGCAACGCCGCGUGAGUGAUGAAGGUUUUCGGAUCGUAAAGCUCUGUUGUUAGGGAAGAACAAGUGCAAGAGUAACUGCUUGCACCUUGACGGUACCUAACCAGAAAGCCACGGCUAACUACGUGCCAGCAGCCGCGGUAAUACGUAGGUGGCAAGCGUUGUCCGGAAUUAUUGGGCGUAAAGGGCUCGCAGGCGGUUUCUUAAGUCUGAUGUGAAAGCCCCCGGCUCAACCGGGGAGGGUCAUUGGAAACUGGGAAACUUGAGUGCAGAAGAGGAGAGUGGAAUUCCACGUGUAGCGGUGAAAUGCGUAGAGAUGUGGAGGAACACCAGUGGCGAAGGCGACUCUCUGGUCUGUAACUGACGCUGAGGAGCGAAAGCGUGGGGAGCGAACAGGAUUAGAUACCCUGGUAGUCCACGCCGUAAACGAUGAGUGCUAAGUGUUAGGGGGUUUCCGCCCCUUAGUGCUGCAGCUAACGCAUUAAGCACUCCGCCUGGGGAGUACGGUCGCAAGACUGAAACUCAAAGGAAUUGACGGGGGCCCGCACAAGCGGUGGAGCAUGUGGUUUAWUUCGAAGCAACGCGAAGAACCUUACCAGGUCUUGACAUCCUCUGACAACCCUAGAGAUAGGGCUUUCCCUUCGGGGACAGAGUGACAGGUGGUGCAUGGUUGUCGUCAGCUCGUGUCGUGAGAUGUUGGGUUAAGUCCCGCAACGAGCGCAACCCUUGAUCUUAGUUGCCAGCAUUCAGUUGGGCACUCUAAGGUGACUGCCGGUGACAAACCGGAGGAAGGUGGGGAUGACGUCAAAUCAUCAUGCCCCUUAUGACCUGGGCUACACACGUGCUACAAUGGACAGAACAAAGGGCUGCGAGACCGCAAGGUUUAGCCAAUCCCACAAAUCUGUUCUCAGUUCGGAUCGCAGUCUGCAACUCGACUGCGUGAAGCUGGAAUCGCUAGUAAUCGCGGAUCAGCAUGCCGCGGUGAAUACGUUCCCGGGCCUUGUACACACCGCCCGUCACACCACGAGAGUUUGCAACACCCGAAGUCGGUGAGGUAACCUUUAUGGAGCCAGCC